GUCCGCGUUGUAAUUUGCAGAGGAUGCUUCGGGUGCAGCCCCCGUCUAAGUGCCCUGGAACGGGCCGUCAUAGAGGGUGAGAAUCCCGUCUGGGACGGGGUGUCUGCGUCCGUGUGAAGCUCCUUCGACGAGUCGAGUUGUUUGGGAAUGCAGCUCUAAAUGGGUGGUAAAUUUCAUCUAAAGCUAAAUACUGGCCGGAGACCGAUAGCGCACAAGUAGAGUGAUCGAAAGAUGAAAAGCACUUUGAAAAGAGAGUUAAACAGCACGUGAAAUUGUUGAAAGGGAAGCGUUUGCGACCAGACUCGCCCGCGGGGUUCAGCCGGCAUUCGUGCCGGUGUACUUCCCCGUGGGCGGGCCAGCGUCGGUUUGGGCGGCCGGUCAAAGGCCCUCGGAAUGUAUCACCUCUCGGGGUGUCUUAUAGCCGAGGGUGCAAUGCGGCCUGCCUGGACCGAGGAACGCGCU
Molecule: ribosomal RNA, 462 nt
Filed under: Eurotiomycetes sp. genotype 137
Lineage: Eukaryota; Fungi; Ascomycota; Eurotiomycetes
Description: eukaryotic LSU rRNA
Rfam family: Eukaryotic large subunit ribosomal RNA
Source: RNAcentral